Molecule: long non-coding RNA, 388 nt
Filed under: Olea europaea subsp. europaea
Lineage: Eukaryota; Viridiplantae; Streptophyta; Magnoliopsida; Lamiales; Oleaceae
Source: RNAcentral
GCACAAAUAUAGCAAAGGUUCAAUGUCAGUGAUUGUCAUCAAAGAAUGACAUUUCAAUGUAUGGGGAAGUACUGGAAAACAUUCAAAUCAAGAUUGAAAAAACAAAUUAGAACUCAAGUUGAAUCAUCUGUGCAUAGAGCAUGCACUAUUACCCUUCUUAGACCAAAAAGUGUCAACUCUGAAGAAGUCUGGGUUAAAUUUGUUGAGGAUACUCUUUCUGCUGAUUUUCAUGUAAAGCUUGACUCUUAUUUUAAUUAUUGUCGUUUUAUACUAUGUUUUUUUUUUUCAAUAGGAGAAAAGUUCCAGGUUCAGCAACAUGCGAACUAAUCAGAAGCUUCUCCAUACUAUGGGUAGAAAGGGUUAUCUACGUGUGGCUUAUGAAAUGGUA